Molecule: ribosomal RNA, 82 nt
Filed under: Pteropus alecto (black flying fox)
Lineage: Eukaryota; Metazoa; Chordata; Mammalia; Chiroptera; Pteropodidae
Also listed under: 1 other name
Source: RNAcentral
GUCUACAGCCAUGCUACCCUGAACAAGCCUGAUUCCGUCUGAUCUCGGAAGCUAGGCAGGGUCGGGCCAGGUGCUGUAAGUG